Molecule: long non-coding RNA, 680 nt
Filed under: Aedes aegypti (yellow fever mosquito)
Lineage: Eukaryota; Metazoa; Arthropoda; Insecta; Diptera; Culicidae
Description: lncRNA AAEL027098
Source: RNAcentral
CGCUAGCUGUCCUCGACGUAGGCGUUGAGAGGAAUACGCAUUUGGACGAGCCUUCGCGCAUUACGGGGGGGAGUGUUGGUAGCGCCCCGUCGAUGAAGAGUGAGUCGAUAUCCCCACAUGACUCAAUUUUGACAUGUACCACACCCGAUGCCAUCGAGGGGAUUGCAGAAACGUGAAUAAUAAUAAGAAACAAAAAUAAAACCAUCAUUCCACCAAAUAGCAACAAGUUUACAUGAAAGUUUAAGUAAUAGGAGUUGAAUUACGUGCCCUAAAUUAAUUAUUUUACAAUUAUAAUAGCCAAUAUCAGUUAGAAUUAUCUACCUGCAGUGCAAUACUGGUUCAGAGUGCUCUAAAGCACCGGUUUAGUUUUAGCGUGAAUUUGUAUUGAACUAGGUGCGAUAUAUGGCAGUAUGUUUGGAAGAAAUCAUAAGCUUAUAUUUGCUCUUUAUAUCUAUGAUUAGGUGAAAAACAGGGAAAUCUGGUCGGUAAGCAUUCCGUAGUUGUCGAAAACGUUAUCCGAGCAAGUGCGACUCAGAGGGGUUCACAAUCGUCGCGAAAAGGAGCAUUGUUGCGAAGGAAUAUUCCGAGGCUAGAUCGCUAAAAGAAUUUUAUAAUUUAUCAAUUACGCCGAAUAAAUUUAUUGAAUUUGAAUCUAGUUCCUCGCUGCUCUCGCAACAUCC